This 299-nucleotide ribosomal RNA is filed under the name uncultured Chaetoceros. Its description in RNAcentral is "partial Bacterial large subunit ribosomal RNA". It matches the Rfam family "Bacterial large subunit ribosomal RNA", at positions 1647 to 1955 of the family's 2925-position model. Lineage: Eukaryota; Bacillariophyta; Thalassiosirophyceae; Chaetocerotales; Chaetocerotaceae. The record is from RNAcentral.
CCGUAAACCGACACAGGUAUUUGAGGAGAGAAUCCUAAGGUGCUCGAGAGAUUCAUGGCUAAGGAAUUAGGCAAAAUAGACCCGUAACUUCGGGAGAAGGGUCGCCCUGAGUAAUCAGGGCCGCAGUGAAGAGGUCCAGGCGACUGUUUAUCAAAAACACAGGGCUCUGCAAAAUCGUAAGAUGAAGUAUAGGGCCUGACACCUGCCCGGUGCUGGAAGGUUAAGAGGAGAUGUUAUCUUCGGAGAAGCAUUGAAUUGAAGCCCCAGUAAACGGCGGCCGUAACAAUAACGGUCCUAAG